GACGAACGCUGGCGGCGUGCCUAAUACAUGCAAGUAGAACGCUGAAGAGAGGAGCUUGCUCUUCUUGGAUGAGUUGCGAACGGGUGAGUAACGUGUAGGUAACCUGCCUUGUAGCGGGGGAUAACUAUUGGAAACGAUAGCUAAUACCGCAUAACAAUGGAUGACACAUGUCAUUUAUUUGAAAGGGGCAAUUGCUCCACUACAAGAUGGACCUGCGUUGUAUUAGCUAGUAGGUGAGGUAACGGCUCACCUAGGCGACGAUACAUAGCCGACCUGAGAGGGUGAUCGGCCACACUGGGACUGAGACACGGCCCAGACUCCUACGGGAGGCAGCAGUAGGGAAUCUUCGGCAAUGGGGGCAACCCUGACCGAGCAACGCCGCGUGAGUGAAGAAGGUUUUCGGAUCGUAAAGCUCUGUUGUAAGUCAAGAACGAGUGUGAGAGUGGAAAGUUCACACUGUGACGGUAGCUUACCAGAAAGGGACGGCUAACUACGUGCCAGCAGCCGCGGUAAUACGUAGGUCCCGAGCGUUGUCCGGAUUUAUUGGGCGUAAAGCGAGCGCAGCGGUUUGAUAAGUCUGAAGUUAAGGCUGUGGCUCAACCAUAGUUCGCUUUGGAAACUGUCAAACUUGAGUGCAGAAGGGGAGAGUGGAAUUCCAUGUGUAGCGGUGAAAUGCGUAGAUAUAUGGAGGAACACCGGUGGCGAAAGCGGCUCUCUGGUCUGUAACUGACGCUGAGGCUCGAAAGCGUGGGGAGCGAACAGGAUUAGAUACCCUGGUAGUCCACGCCGUAAACGAUGAGUGCUAGGUGUUGGAUCCUUUCCGGGAUUCAGUGCCGCAGCUAACGCAUUAAGCACUCCGCCUGGGGAGUACGACCGCAAGGUUGAAACUCAAAGGAAUUGACGGGGGCCCGCACAAGCGGUGGAGCAUGUGGUUUAAUUCGAAGCAACGCGAAGAACCUUACCAGGUCUUGACAUCCCGAUGCUAUUUCUAGAGAUAGAAAGUUACUUCGGUACAUCGGUGACAGGUGGUGCAUGGUUGUCGUCAGCUCGUGUCGUGAGAUGUUGGGUUAAGUCCCGCAACGAGCGCAACCCCUAUUGUUAGUUGCCAUCAUUCAGUUGGGCACUCUAGCGAGACUGCCGGUAAUAAACCGGAGGAAGGUGGGGAUGACGUCAAAUCAUCAUGCCCCUUAUGACCUGGGCUACACACGUGCUACAAUGGUUGGUACAACGAGUUGCGAGUCGGUGACGGCAAGCUAAUCUCUUAAAGCCAAUCUCAGUUCGGAUUGUAGGCUGCAACUCGCCUACAUGAAGUCGGAAUCGCUAGUAAUCGCGGAUCAGCACGCUGCGGUGAAUACGUUCCCGGGCCU
Molecule: ribosomal RNA, 1367 nt
Filed under: uncultured bacterium
Lineage: Bacteria
Description: bacterial SSU rRNA
Rfam family: Bacterial small subunit ribosomal RNA
Source: RNAcentral